This 444-nucleotide long non-coding RNA is filed under the name Salmo salar (Atlantic salmon). RNAcentral's name for it is "lncRNA (ENSSSAG00000087899.1)". Lineage: Eukaryota; Metazoa; Chordata; Actinopteri; Salmoniformes; Salmonidae. The record is from RNAcentral.
GUACAUUUUACUGAACUGCGUCCAGUCAGCAGAUGGACUAGAUGCCUCUUAGGCCGCCCAUUGUGACUCCGUCAAGAAUUCAGCAGAGCAAGUUUGUAUGAAGUUGUCCACAUGGCUGGAAGAACCUAUUCAAGUAGCUAGCUAACAGCCAUGGAGGAGGGUGAAAGGAUAGCAGCCCCAACUGUCAGUGAGAGAGGAGGCUAUUCUGGAUAGGGCAGGUACUUUUGUGUAGUUCCUGUCCCUAGAAGUGAGGACGGAGAUAAUAGUAACAUAAUAUUCAGUGUGGUGUAAUCUGACUAUAAUGAAGUCUGUUUCUUGUGAGGUUUUCUGUCCUCAGAUAAAGAGCUCUAUGAAAGCCAGUCUACAUAUGAAGAGGUCCCAAUGAAGAGCAGUGGUUCUCAGUCCUGGGGACUCAGAGGGGCACAUUUUUGUUUUUGCCUUCAC